Molecule: long non-coding RNA, 2047 nt
Filed under: Homo sapiens (human)
Lineage: Eukaryota; Metazoa; Chordata; Mammalia; Primates; Hominidae
Description: non-protein coding lnc-IL2RA-7:1
Source: RNAcentral
CCAAGUCGCCUCUGAUGUGUGGACUGACUUUCUGCUUCCUGUGUCUCUGGGAGCUUGAGGCUUCUAUCCUUCUCAUUAGUGGAGCUCCCUAAUGACAUUUUAAUGCAAUUAUUGUCUCUUGAGUAAGCCUGAGAGCAUGUACCGAGUCUUCUCUUUCUCUUUCUCUCUUUAACUCUCAGCACAGAGCUCAGACGGAACCUUGGAUUGAGGAGGUUCAUGAGGCCUCCUGUAGCCAGGGAAUAUAUUUUAUUUCCCUCCAGUUACCAAUAUGAAGGUUUCCAAACGUUCAUAUCAUAUUUUAGGCCCUAAUCAUUAAUAUUGAGAGCCCUAAGCACUCCGAUUUGGGUCCAUAUCUAAAGGUGAGUUUUAGGGGAUCUGACUGAGAAGUGUUCCGGGCCAGCUCCCUAGAAACCCUUGGGUGCACUGACUUCUUCCUGGCCAGUGUCGUCUGCUUGGUCAUCAGUGUGUUCCUCCCCUCCUGAGUUCUCUCCAUCUUUCUGUUCUUCUGUUUUCUUGCAGUAAUCGAGGACAGGUGGUCGCUGGCACACAAGGAUAUUAGGAACCCAUGAGGUUGUCCCUUGUAGGAGAAAAGACUGGAGAGAGGCCACUGAAUCUCGUUGUGUCAUUCACCCUACCUAGUCCUGCUCUGCCAGGGUCAUGCUCACCUUCCAGACCCACCCAACAGUGAAGUCGGACUGAAAAAUCCCAGAAGUGGGAAUUGGGAGACAAGGUUGAGUGCAUUAGGGGGAUGUCUAGGAUUCCCCCUGAUUCGAAUAUUUUGUAGCUGUUUUGAGGGGUCCUUUUCGCAUCCAGACCAGGAUUUCACCUGGACAGCUGGAGUGGGAAAGAAGUGGAUACAUUUCAAGCUCCUAGGGCUGUAGUUAAUGUGUCCUGUCAUAACCACUGCAGAACAGCCAGUGUAGGUCAGAGAAUGCAACCACUGGUGGCAUGUAUAACCCUUCACCAAUAAACCGAAGUGCAGUCCCACAAACAUGGGAGUCAUUCAGCUACAAUUAGCUUUGCUAUGGACAGGAGGAAUUAAAAUUUAAUACCGUAGCAACAGCAAAACAUGAUUCGUUCUACAGUGUUAGUGGGGAUGGUAACACAAGGAAGGUUAUGAUAACCAAGUUUCUCUGAAAAGGUCAAGUGGAUUUCCUCAGUGGGCUAUGUUUCUGGAAUAUAAGGUAAUGGUGAAUAAUAGAGGAAAUCUCCCUCUAAGAAUGGGAACUCUUUAAUUCAUCUGCAUUAGUCAUUCAAUAAAAAUAAAUUAGCAUACAUUUUACUGGGGACCUAUUUAGAGGGGUACUAUGAACAGUAGCCAUAAAUAACUCUUGCAUAGGAAGAACGUGAAUUACUCUACUUUGUAAAUAUUAGUUUGCAAAAGUAAUUGUGGUUUUGCAAUUACUUUUGAGGAACGUAAUUCAGUGGGAAGUAACUUGCAUAAUUCCAAGUUCUGAAGCAGAGGCAGCUGAAAUAUUUGCCAUUGCAAUGAAAAGGACUUUCCUCCCGGGAUUCUUCCCUAGUUCCUGGACAAGGAGAUUUGUUAAUAUUUGUAGUACACUUGAGAUCUGCGACUAAAAGUGCUUUAGGAGAGAAAAGCAUCACAAGAAGAAAGGGCUUUUUGUUUCUUUUUAAAAUAAAAUAAAUGCAAUUUCUUUCACCAAAAAAAAGGCGAACAUUGCUAAGCAUAAAUGAGCACUUCCUUUUAGAAAUGAAUAAAGUAAAACUCAACCAUUAGCAACUUCCCAUAGCUAGAGCUCGCAGAGGAAAAUGUUAACACAUAGCAUCAUGUUUGAAUUUUAUUAUUUUCAUAGAGAAGAAAACCAGCAAGCAAACCCCUUCUCUUGAGAGAACAGCCUUGAAGUACUCAGAACAGAGAGCAUAUGUAUCUAUUGAAAUAAAAUAAAGUCACUUUUCUCCAGGAAAAUACUAUAGAUAUUUUCUCAUGGAAAAAAUAGACUAGACCUAUGGGUCUAAAUAUGUAAACAUAAAGAGAGAUCACACUAUUUAUUCAAGUACUGUGCUAUCUCAAGACACCCAGCCAUGC